RNAcentral lists this ribosomal RNA (517 nucleotides) under uncultured bacterium. RNAcentral describes it as "bacterial SSU rRNA". It matches the Rfam family "Bacterial small subunit ribosomal RNA", at positions 355 to 885 of the family's 1533-position model. The record is from RNAcentral.
UGGGGAAUUUUCCGCAAUGGGCGAAAGCCUGACGGAGCAAGACCGCGUGAGGGAGGAAGGCCUAUUGGUUGUAAACCUCUUUUCUCAGGAAAGAACACAAUGACGGUACCUGAGGAAUCAGCAUCGGCUAACUCCGUGCCAGCAGCCGCGGUAAUACGGAGGAUGCAAGCGUUAUCCGGAAUGAUUGGGCGUAAAGAGUCCGUAGGUGGUGAUGCGUGUCUGCUGUCAAAGCUCAAGGCUUAACUUUGAAUCGGCAGUGGAAACUGCAUCACUAGAGGCAGGUAGGGGUAGAGGGAAUUCCCGGUGUAGCGGUGAAAUGCGUAGAGAUCGGGAAGAACACCAGCGGCGAAAGCGCUCUGCUAGACCUGAACUGACACUGAGGGACGAAAGCUAGGGGAGCGAAAGGGAUUAGAUACCCCUGUAGUCCUAGCCGUAAACGAUGGAUACUAGGCGUUGCCCGUAUCGACCCGGGCAGUGCCGUAGCUAACGCGUUAAGUAUCCCGCCUGGGGAGUACGC